AGACUUUAACUCUUUCACUACAGCGUCUUCGUCCUUACUUAAGGCGAUCCUUUUUGGGAUCGGAGCGACCAGGUGUUGCCAACUCAGUGGGAUGCCCUCAAAGCCGUUCCAAAUCUUGCUCCUCAAAAUGAAGAAUCGAUUCUUCCAAUUCUUCAAUUAAGAAGGGAGAUCGGUAAAGAGGGAGCAGUUAGGCUUAGCCUGAAAGAACCAGAACUCAUCAUCCUU
This 225-nucleotide unclassified non-coding RNA is filed under the name Hevea brasiliensis (rubber tree). Lineage: Eukaryota; Viridiplantae; Streptophyta; Magnoliopsida; Malpighiales; Euphorbiaceae. The record is from RNAcentral.